This 953-nucleotide long non-coding RNA is filed under the name Marmota monax (woodchuck). Lineage: Eukaryota; Metazoa; Chordata; Mammalia; Rodentia; Sciuridae. The record is from RNAcentral.
GUUUAUUCCCUUAACAGGAGCAAUCAUCUCAUGGGACCACACUGCCUCUUUUAGGAUUCCAGGUCUGGUAGAUAAACAUCCUGAACAAUAAAUAAAAUUUAUUCCUUUCAAGUGAUAAGGACUUCUCAGGAGCCACCUAACAGUGCUAGAAGUGAGAUAGUUUGGACAAGACUGCUUAACAAUGCAUACCUCUUCCCCACUGUCCCGAUUCUGUUUCUAUUUAAACCUUCAGGUCAUGCCAGCACCUGAAAGACAUGACUUAAAACAUGGAUCCCCUUGUCUUUCUGGUGUAGCUAAAUUGACUAAAGUUCUUUUCUUGAUUUUUGCGAUUACUCUUUGGAUUUUGGGGGAUGUGGUGAGUGGCUAGACCUGGAUUUUGUAUCUGGCAUGGGACUCCUGUAAUUCUUUCAAUUUUUAUUUUGUGGAAAAUUAAGAAAUCACUGUGUAAUCAAUAGUGCCAAAGGUUAUGUAAUAUUAUGAGAAACUCAAGUGAAGCCACUGGCAUUAAUCUCCUGCUGCUGUAUUUUUGUUUUUGUUGUUGUUAUAGGUGGACACAAUAUCAUUAUUUUAUUUUUCUGUGAUGCUGAGGAUCAAACCCAGUGUCUCAUGUAUGGUAGGUGAGCAUUCUAUCUCUGAGCACAACCCCAGUCCCAUACCUGUGUAUUUACAAAACAUGAGAACUUUGUCAACACAAGCUCCAUCCAUAUAUCUUUGCCCACACAGGUUCCUCUGCCUAGAAUAUUUUUGUGCCUCAUAAAAGACUCCUGCUGAGCCUCCAAAAUCCAGCUCUUAUAGCACCUAUUUUGGUAGAGUCUUUCCUUACUAAUCUCAAAGAGUAGGACAACUUAUUCUUUGUCUGUAAUCCUCAAGACUCUAUAUGCUGAGGUAGGAGGAUCAUGAGUUCAAAACUAGUGUCAAAACUCAAUGAUACCAUGAGCAUCAUAGCUAAAACC